UACCCUUGACAUGGAUGGAAUCCUGAAGAGAUUUGGGAGUGCUCGAAAGAGAACCAUCACACAGGUGCUGCAUGGCUGUCGUCAGCUCGUGUCGUGAGAUGUUGGGUUAAGUCCCGCAACGAGCGCAACCCUUGUCAUUAGUUGCUACGAAAGGGCACUCUAAUGAGACUGCCGGUGACAAACCGGAGGAAGGUGGGGAUGACGUCAAGUCCUCAUGGCCCUUAUGGGUAGGGCUUCACACGUCAUACAAUGGUACAUACAGAGGGCCGCCAACCCGCGAGGGGGAGCUAAUCCCAGAAAGUGUAUCGUAGUCCGGAUUGGAGUCUGCAACUCGACUCCAUGAAGUUGGAAUCGCUAGUAAUCGCGGAUCAGCAUGUCGCGGUGAAUACGUUCCCGGGUCUU
RNAcentral lists this ribosomal RNA (402 nucleotides) under uncultured Herbaspirillum sp. RNAcentral describes it as "bacterial SSU rRNA". It matches the Rfam family "Bacterial small subunit ribosomal RNA", at positions 976 to 1382 of the family's 1533-position model. Lineage: Bacteria; Pseudomonadati; Pseudomonadota; Betaproteobacteria; Burkholderiales; Oxalobacteraceae. The record is from RNAcentral.